GAGAGAUCAACAUUCUAUCUUAUAUAAAUUUGAAGAAAAGCACCAUUUUCCAUUGAUGCAAUAUUUAAGAUUCUAUCUUAGUAAAUUGUUGGAGACCCUUUGGCAUACUCUGCGAAGGUUUGUAUAUAUGUUUUAACAGAUUGUGGUCAUAAAAAAAUAAUCCAAAAUAUGGUAUGGCAUGCAGUAGUAUAAUGGAAUCUGCAAAGUUUUACCAUGAUAUACCAAACACAUGCGAUGUUUUACCUAAGUUGCGUACAUCCAGAUCUUGCUCGUAACAUGUUUGUUUUGAAUUUAGAUUACCAACAAGCUGAUGGUCUAGUGGUAAAAAAAUGUCUAGUGAAAACUGUCAUUCGGGUUCAAUUAUUUUUGGAAAAAAACUAUUUACAUUGCUUAAUAUCCGGCAAAUAGGUGAAAACCAUAUAUAUAUAUAUAUUUUUAAUUUAGACUACAUACAAUACAAUGAUUAUGUUUAUUCAGCGGUUUAAUCGAUAUAAAAAAAUAAUGAAAAAAUAAACAAUGAUGUGAAAUAAACAUAGUUUAAAACAUUUCACCAUAUUAUAAGACAAAAAAAAAAAUUCACCAUAUUAAAUAAACAAAAGAUAAAUACCAACGCACCAUAUAAUUAUUUCAUUAUUAGUUUCCAAAAUCAGCUUUUUAUUUCAUCAUAAUUAAUAUUGGUUAUUUUAUGAUAAAUUAUUUUCAUAUUUAAUGAUCAUUUUCAUGUGUUACAAAUAGAGGAUAAAAAUCUGAUUUAUUUAAUUUGGACAUAUUAACAUAUUUUAAAUAUUUUGGGAAAUAAAUCUUAACAAUAGCUCUU
Molecule: long non-coding RNA, 817 nt
Filed under: Brassica rapa (field mustard)
Lineage: Eukaryota; Viridiplantae; Streptophyta; Magnoliopsida; Brassicales; Brassicaceae
Description: long non-coding RNA (BRAP_LNC001033)
Source: RNAcentral